UACGAAGGGGGCUAGCGUUGCUCGGAAUCACUGGGCGUAAAGCGCACGUAGGCGGCUUCUUAAGUCAGGGGUGAAAUCCUGGAGCUCAACUCCAGAACUGCCCUUGAUACUGAGAAGCUUGAGUCCGGGAGAGGUGAGUGGAACUGCGAGUGUAGAGGUGAAAUUCGUAGAUAUUCGCAAGAACACCAGUGGCGAAGGCGGCUCACUGGCCCGGUACUGACGCUGAGGUGCGAAAGCGUGGGGAGCAAACAGG
RNAcentral lists this ribosomal RNA (253 nucleotides) under uncultured bacterium. Its description in RNAcentral is "partial 16S ribosomal RNA". It matches the Rfam family "Bacterial small subunit ribosomal RNA", at positions 524 to 776 of the family's 1533-position model. The record is from RNAcentral.